GCUGGGCACAGUGGUGCAUGCCUGUAAUCCCAGUUGCUGGGGAAGCUGAGACAGGAGGAUUUUGAGUUCAAAGCCAGCCUCAGCAACAGCGAGGCACUAAGCAACUCAGUGAGACUCUGUCUCUA
This 125-nucleotide small RNA is filed under the name Marmota monax (woodchuck). Lineage: Eukaryota; Metazoa; Chordata; Mammalia; Rodentia; Sciuridae. The record is from RNAcentral.